RNAcentral lists this ribosomal RNA (274 nucleotides) under uncultured bacterium. RNAcentral's name for it is "partial 16S ribosomal RNA". It matches the Rfam family "Bacterial small subunit ribosomal RNA", at positions 523 to 796 of the family's 1533-position model. The record is from RNAcentral.
AUACGGAGGGUGCAAGCGUUACUCGGAAUCACUGGGCGUAAAGCGCGCGCAGGCGGCUUGAUAAGUUGGAUGUGAAAGCCUACGGCUCAACCGUAGAACUGCAUCCAAAACUGUCAGGCUAGAGUGUGCGAGAGGAAGAUGGAAUUAGUUGUGUAGGGGUAAAAUCCGUAGAGAUAACUAGGAAUACCAAAAGCGAAGGCAAUCUUCUGGAACACUACUGACGCUGAGGCGCGAAGGCGUGGGGAGCAAACAGGAUUAGAAACCCUAGUAGUCC